UACGGAGGAUCCAAGCGUUAUCCGGAUUCAUUGGGUUUAAAGGGUGCGUAGGCGGAUUUGUAAGUCAGCGGUGAAAUCCUACAGCUUAACUGUAGAACUGCCGUUGAUACUGCAAGUCUUGAGUACAUUUGAUGUGGGCGGAAUGUGUCAUGUAGCGGUGAAAUGCUUAGAUAUGACACGGAACACCAAUUGCGAAGGCAGCUCACAAAACUGUAACUGACGCUGAGGCACGACAGCGUGGGGAUCAAACAGG
This 253-nucleotide ribosomal RNA is filed under the name uncultured bacterium. Its description in RNAcentral is "partial 16S ribosomal RNA". It matches the Rfam family "Bacterial small subunit ribosomal RNA", at positions 524 to 776 of the family's 1533-position model. The record is from RNAcentral.